UACGUAGGGACCAAGCGUUGUUCGGAUUUACUGGGCGUAAAGGGCGCGUAGGCGGCGCGGUAAGUCACUUGUGUAAUCUCUGAGCUUAACUCAGAACGGCCAAGUGAUACUGCAGUGCUAGAGUGCAGAAAGGGCAAUCGGAAUUCUUGGUGUAGCGGUGAAAUGCGUAGAUAUCAAGAGGAACACCUGAGGCGAAGGCGGGUUGCUAGGCUGACACUGACGCUGAGUGCGCGAAAGCCAGGGGAGCAAACGGG
Molecule: ribosomal RNA, 254 nt
Filed under: uncultured bacterium
Lineage: Bacteria
Description: partial 16S ribosomal RNA
Rfam family: Bacterial small subunit ribosomal RNA
Source: RNAcentral